Molecule: ribosomal RNA, 497 nt
Filed under: uncultured bacterium
Lineage: Bacteria
Description: partial 16S ribosomal RNA
Rfam family: Bacterial small subunit ribosomal RNA
Source: RNAcentral
GAUGAACGCUGGCGGCGUGCCUAAUACAUGCAAGUCGAGCGAACGGACGAGAAGCUUGCUUCUCUGAUGUUAGCGGCGGACGGGUGAGUAACACGUGGAUAACCUACCUAUAAGACUGGGAUAACUUCGGGAAACCGGAGCUAAUACCGGAUAAUAUUUUGAACCGCAUGGUUCAAAAGUGAAAGACGGUCUUGCUGUCACUUAUAGAUGGAUCCGCGCUGCAUUAGCUAGUUGGUAAGGUAACGGCUUACCAAGGCAACGAUGCAUAGCCGACCUGAGAGGGUGAUCGGCCACACUGGAACUGAGACACGGUCCAGAGUCAUACGGGAAGCAGCAGUAGGAAAUCUUCCACAAUGGGCGAGAGCCUGACGGAGCAACGCCGCGUGAGUGAUGAAGGUCUUCGGAUCGUAAAACUCUGUUAUUAGAGAAGAACAUAUGUGUAAGUAACUGUGCACAUCUUGAUGGUACCUAAUCAGAAAGCCACGGCUAACUACGUG